RNAcentral lists this ribosomal RNA (253 nucleotides) under uncultured bacterium. RNAcentral's name for it is "partial 16S ribosomal RNA". It matches the Rfam family "Bacterial small subunit ribosomal RNA", at positions 524 to 776 of the family's 1533-position model. The record is from RNAcentral.
CACGUAGGAGGCAAGCGUUAUCCGGAUUUACUGGGCGUAAAGCGCGUGCAGGUGGUUCGGUAAGUUGGAUGUGAAAGCUCCUGGCUCAACUGGGAGAGGUCGUUCAAAACUGCCGGACUUGAGAAUAGUAGAGGAAGAUGGAAUUCCCGGUGUAGUGGUGAAAUGCGUAGAUAUCGGGAGGAACACCAGUGGCGAAAGCGGUCUUCUGGACUAUUUCUGACACUCAGACGCGAAAGCUAGGGUAGCAAACGGG